UACGUAGGGGGCAAGCGUUAUCCGGAUUUACUGGGUGUAAAGGGAGCGUAGACGGCGAUGCAAGUCUGAAGUGAAAGGCGGGGGCCCAACCCCCGGACUGCUUUGGAAACUGUAUAGCUGGAGUGCAGGAGAGGUAAGUGGAAUUCCUAGUGUAGCGGUAGAAUGCGUAGAGAUUAGGAGGAACAUCAGAGGCGAAGGCGGCUUACUGGACCAUAACUGACGCUGAGGCUCGAAAGCGUGGGGAGCAAACAGG
RNAcentral lists this ribosomal RNA (253 nucleotides) under uncultured Eubacteriales bacterium. Its description in RNAcentral is "uncultured Clostridiales bacterium partial 16S ribosomal RNA". It matches the Rfam family "Bacterial small subunit ribosomal RNA", at positions 524 to 776 of the family's 1533-position model. Lineage: Bacteria; Bacillati; Bacillota; Clostridia; Eubacteriales. The record is from RNAcentral.